GGAGGGGUGGGUGAGUGGUUAAAACCGGCAGACUGUAAAUCUGUUGCCUAUGGCUACGCAGGUUCGAAUCCUGCUCCCUCCACCA
RNAcentral lists this transfer RNA (85 nucleotides) under Litorivicinus sp. Its description in RNAcentral is "tRNA-Tyr". It matches the Rfam family "tRNA". From Rfam's summary of the family: Transfer RNA (tRNA) molecules are approximately 80 nucleotides in length. Their secondary structure includes four short double-helical elements and three loops (D, anti-codon, and T loops). Lineage: Bacteria; Pseudomonadati; Pseudomonadota; Gammaproteobacteria; Oceanospirillales; Litorivicinaceae. The record is from RNAcentral.